Molecule: ribosomal RNA, 484 nt
Filed under: uncultured bacterium
Lineage: Bacteria
Description: partial 16S ribosomal RNA
Rfam family: Bacterial small subunit ribosomal RNA
Source: RNAcentral
AUUGAACGCUGGCGGCAGGCCUAACACAUGCAAGUCGAGCGGAUGAAGGGAGCUUGCUCCUGGAUUCAGCGGCGGACGGGUGUGUAAUGCCUAGGAAUCUGCCUGGUAGUGGGGGAUAACGUCCGGAAACGGGCGCUAAUACCGCAUACGUCCUGAGGGAGAAAGUGGGGGAUCUUCGGACCUCACGCUAUCAGAUGAGCCUAGGUCGGAUUAGCUAGUUGGUGGGGUAAAGGCCUACCAAGGCGACGAUCCGUAACUGGUCUGAGAGGAUGAUCAGUCACACUGGAACUGGGACACGGUCCAGACUCCUACGGGAGGCAGCAGUGGGGAAUAUUGGACAAUGGGCGAAAGCCUGAUCCAGCCAUGCCGCGUGUGUGAAGAAGGUCUUCGGAUUGUAAAGCACUUUAAGUUGGGAGGAAGGGCAGUAAGUUAAUACCUUGCUGUUUUGACGUUACCAACAGAAUAAGCACCGGCUAACUUCGUG